RNAcentral lists this unclassified non-coding RNA (327 nucleotides) under uncultured fungus. RNAcentral describes it as "sequence contains ITS1". The stretch from base 1 to 108 matches the Rfam family "5.8S ribosomal RNA", at positions 50 to 154 of the family's 154-position model. Lineage: Eukaryota; Fungi. The record is from RNAcentral.
AAAGUGCGACAAGUGUCACGACUUGCAGAUUCCCGGGAGCUGACAACUUUCUGAAUGCAGAUUGCGGCCCGACAAUCUCAGCCGUCGGCCAUGUGCUGCAGAGUGUUGUUGCCUUGUGCAAUCCAUCUUUUUGGUCUCCCAAAAAGAAUUCGAAGUUGAGCGGCCUGUGCGACUCGGGGGCGCGCGCUCAGCUUUGAGAUUUGCGCAAGCUCGCCCGUCCAAAAGACGAGCCUGCCUUGAAUGUCUCAUUCGCGGCAGAGCACAGAGCAAACGCGCCACACCUUUUUUUGCUGACCUCUGCGGCAUAAGAAAACCCGCUGAACUUAA